UUUUUUUUUUUUUUUGAGAUGGAGUUUUGCUCUUGUCGCCCAGGCUGGAGUGCAAUGGUGCAAUCUCGGCUCACUGCAACCUCUGCCUCCUGGGUUCAAGUGAUUCUCCUGCCUCAGCUUCCCCAGUUACUGGAAUUACAGGUGCCUGCCACCACACCUGGCUAAGUUUUUGUACCUUUAGUAGAGACGGGGUUUCACCAUGUUGAUCAGGCUGGUCUUGAACUCCUGACCUCAGGUGAUCCACCUGCCUUGGCCUCCCAAAGUGUUGGAAUUAUAGGCAUGAGCCACCACGCCUGGCCCCGGCCACCUUUUUCUAAUUUACACAAAAGUCCCCACACAGGUUUCCAGAAUUCCCUAUUUCCCUCCUCCUCCCACUAAGAGUUGCAGGUCAUCAGCACCUGUCACUUGCUAUCCUUUCAGGCUUUAGUAUUUUCUUUCUGGGUCCCAUGUAGUCCCCAUAACAACUCUCUGACUCAUUCUUCCCAUGAAGGCUUCUUCCUUCUGCUGUUUUCCUGGAAGUUGGUUCUUUGAAAACCAAACAAGACCCAAAGAGCACUCCACCAGAUGAGUCAGAUCCUGUAGGGACCAAGGUCUCCCACCACAGACCCUGGGACAGAUAGUCUGGCUCGGUGGCGAACACCAGCAGGGGUUGGUUUAGAAGCAUUUCCUGGAUGUUUUCAAGUCUCGAGUGUUUAGCAAAUCUUGAGUGUACAAAGGGCUGAAAUCCACCUUACCUUCCCUCCAGCGUCUUCCAGCAACCCCUAGAUGCAGACAGUGUGUUUAGGGCCCCUGGGGCUGUGGGAGAACCCUUUAGCACAGGGCCCAGCAAAUGCUUUCUGUAAAGGGCCAGAUGUAAAAAUAAUAAGGCUUUGGGGUCUUUUGUCUCUGUCACAACUACCCAACCUGACUGUCACAACUACCCUACCUGACUGGACACAACUGUGCUUCAAUAACAUUUUCUAAUGGGCACUGACAUUUUAAUUUCAUAUGAUUUUCACAUGUGCCAGAGGGUUAUGAUGCUUUUGAUUUUCUCCCUGCAACCGUGUAAAAAAUCAUUCUAGCUCUCAGGCUGCACGAAAGUAGACAGUGGGUAAAACUGGACCCACAGGCCAACUGUAGCCUUAGCUACUGGGGAGCUCAAACCAUAGUUUGCCGACCCAUGAGACAGAGCUAAGUUUUACAGGUCCGUCAACAAGUCAACCUUGGAUUCAAGUCCUCGUUAUUUAAUCAACCAUUGGUGUGAGUCAUGGCACGUUACUGAUCCUCUCUGAACCUCUGUUUCUUCUCUGUCACCUGGGGAUGGUGGUGUCUGUUGUUCCGGGAUUGACAGAGAUGAAGCACAUAAAGCACUUACCUCAGUGACUGGUGUGCACAGUCACUCUCUGUGGGUGAACCAUGAACUUGUAGCAGCCCAUUCGGAGGUCAGCGAGAGGGGGCGCGAACCUAAUGAGGUCAGGGGUCCUUUCCUGGAGGAAGUUGGGGGUGAGC
This 1488-nucleotide long non-coding RNA is filed under the name Macaca fascicularis (crab-eating macaque). RNAcentral's name for it is "lncRNA (ENSMFAG00000052570.1)". Lineage: Eukaryota; Metazoa; Chordata; Mammalia; Primates; Cercopithecidae. The record is from RNAcentral.